AUAAUGGGUCAGCGACUUAUAUUCUGUAGCAAGGUUAACCGAAUAGGGGAGCCGAAGGGAAACCGAGUCUUAACUGGGCGUUAAGUUGCAGGGUAUAGACCCGAAACCCGGUGAUCUAGCCAUGGGCAGGUUGAAGGUUGGGUAACACUAACUGGAGGACCGAACCGACUAAUGUUGAAAAAUUAGCGGAUGACUUGUGGCUGGGGGUGAAAGGCCAAUCAAACCGGGAGAUAGCUGGUUCUCCCCGAAAGCUAUUUAGGUAGCGCCUCGUGAAUUCAUCUCCGGGGGUAGAGCACUGUUUCGGCAAGGGGGUCAUCCCGACUUACCAACCCGAUGCAAACUGCGAAUACCGGAGAAUGUUAUCACGGGAGACACACGGCGGGUGCUAACGUCCGUCGUGAAGAGGGAAACAACCCAGACCGCCAGCUAAGGUCCCAAAGUCA
RNAcentral lists this ribosomal RNA (443 nucleotides) under Escherichia coli. Its description in RNAcentral is "partial 23S ribosomal RNA". It matches the Rfam family "Bacterial large subunit ribosomal RNA", at positions 612 to 1055 of the family's 2925-position model. The record is from RNAcentral. Lineage: Bacteria; Pseudomonadati; Pseudomonadota; Gammaproteobacteria; Enterobacterales; Enterobacteriaceae.